UUUUUUUUUCUUCUUUCUAGAUUUGAUCAUUUCUCCAUUUUUAGCUAAUACCCUUCACCAAUAAUUUUAUUAUCACCUUCUUGACAUGGAUGACAUUGAUGUUCCUCAGUAUUUUACCUGCCCAAUAUCUCUCCAAAUCAUGACAGACCCUGUAACGGCCAUCACUGGAAUUACAUAUGAUCGAGAGAGCAUCGAGCAUUGGUUAUUCAUCAGCAGGAACACAAUCUGUCCUGUCACUAAACAACCCUUGCCUGAAGACUCUGAUUUGACCCCUAAUCACACCUUGCGCAGAUUAAUCCAGGCUUGGUGUAUUGAGAAUGCUUCUAAAGGUGUUGACAGUAUUCCUACUCCCAAACCUUGUCUGGACAAGUUUCAUGUCCGUAAACUCAUUGAAGAUCUUUCUCUUCCUCAGCUCCAGGUGAAAGCUAUCAGAGAGUUAGAGCUGCUGGCAGCAGCGAAUGAAAGGAAUAGGAAGUACUUGGCUGAAGCUGGGGUGCCUAGGGCCUUAUUGCUGUUUAUAUUAACAUGUUUCAAGCAAGGCCGGAUAUUUGAUGGUCUGCAAGAAGCGCUUAGUAUUCUUCGGUUGAUUCGAAUUCCUUCGAGAGAAUCCAAGGUUUUUCUUAUCGAAAACGAUCAAAUCAUCGAAUCCUUGACAUGGGUUUUAGGGUGCAAUAUCGAUAAUCAUGUUAUUGUUAAAUCUCAUGCAGCUUCUGUACUGAAGAUGCUGUUUGAGGAAGCGAGCUCUAGAGUAUUAGAAAGGCUAAAUCCUGAAUUUUUUGACAGGGUUGUUGGUGUUAUAAGAGAGAAAAUCACUCAACAAGGAAUAAAUGCUGCUUUAAAAGUGCUGUUGACUGCUUGUCCUUGGGGAGGAAAUCGGAUAAUGAUGGUGGAAUCUGGUGCUGUUUUUGAGCUGAUCGAGCUUGAAUGGAGAUCACCAGAGAAGAAAACCACAGAGAUGAUAUUGGGGAUACUAUUUCAUCUAUGUUCUUGUGCUGAUGGAAGAGAACAAUUCUUGAGUCACCGAGGUGGAAUUGCUGUGGUUGCAAAGAGAAUCUUGAACGUGUCUCCGACGGCUGAUGAACGAGCCAUUUUGAUCCUUGCAAUGAUCUGUAAAUUCUCAGGAACAAGCAUGGUUCUCCAAGAAAUGUUGAAUGUUAAAGCUGUGUCAAAGCUUUGCAUGAUGCUCCAAUCUGAUCGUGCAGCUUAUUUGAAGGAAAAAGCCAGGGAAAUCCUUAGAUCACAUUCUGAUGAGUGGAAGAA
RNAcentral lists this unclassified non-coding RNA (1260 nucleotides) under Hevea brasiliensis (rubber tree). The record is from RNAcentral. Lineage: Eukaryota; Viridiplantae; Streptophyta; Magnoliopsida; Malpighiales; Euphorbiaceae.